GGUUAAGCGACUAAGCGUACACGGUGGAUGCCCUGGCAGUCAGAGGCGAUGAAGGACGUGCUAAUCUGCGAUAAGCGUCGGUAAGGUGAUAUGAACCGUUAUAACCGGCGAUUUCCGAAUGGGGAAACCCAGUGUGAUUCGUCACACUAUCAUUAACUGAAUCCAUAGGUUAAUGAGGCGAACCGGGGGAACUGAAACAUCUAAGUACCCCGAGGAAAAGAAAUCAACCGAGAUUCCCCCAGUAGCGGCGAGCGAACGGGGAGNNGCGAUACAGGGUGACAGCCCCGUACACAAAAAUGCACAUACUGUGAGCUCGAUGAGUAGGGCGGGACACGUGGUAUCCUGUCUGAAUAUGGGGGGACCAUCCUCCAAGGCUAAAUACUCCUGACUGACCGAUAGUGAACCAGUACCGUGAGGGAAAGGCGAAAAGAACCCCGGCGAGGGGAGUGAAAAAGAACCUGAAACCGUGUACGUACAAGCAGUGGGAGCCUCUUUUAUGGGGUGACUGCGUACCUUUUGUAUAAUGGGUCAGCGACUUAUAUUCUGUAGCAAGGUUAACCGAAUAGGGGAGCCGAAGGGAAACCGAGUCUUAACUGGGCGUUAAGUUGCAGGGUAUAGACCCGAAACCCGGUGAUCUAGCCAUGGGCAGGUUGAAGGUUGGGUAACACUAACUGGAGGACCGAACCGACUAAUGUUGAAAAAUUAGCGGAUGACUUGUGGCUGGGGGUGAAAGGCCAAUCAAACCGGGAGAUAGCUGGUUCUCCCCGAAAGCUAUUUAGGUAGCGCCUCGUGAAUUCAUCUCCGGGGGUAGAGCACUGUUUCGGCAAGGGGGUCAUCCCGACUUACCAACCCGAUGCAAACUGCGAAUACCGGAGAAUGUUAUCACGGGAGACACACGGCGGGUGCUAACGUCCGUCGUGAAGAGGGAAACAACCCAGACCGCCAGCUAAGGUCCCAAAGUCAUGGUUAAGUGGGAAACGAUGUGGGAAGGCCCAGACAGCCAGGAUGUUGGCUUAGAAGCAGCCAUCAUUUAAAGAAAGCGUAAUAGCUCACUGGUCGAGUCGGCCUGCGCGGAAGAUGUAACGGGGCUAAACCAUGCACCGAAGCUGCGGCAGCGACACUAUGUGUUGUUGGGUAGGGGAGCGUUCUGUAAGCCUGUGAAGGUGUACUGUGAGGUAUGCUGGAGGUAUCAGAAGUGCGAAUGCUGACAUAAGUAACGAUAAAGCGGGUGAAAAGCCCGCUCGCCGGAAGACCAAGGGUUCCUGUCCAACGUUAAUCGGGGCAGGGUGAGUCGACCCCUAAGGCGAGGCCGAAAGGCGUAGUCGAUGGGAAACAGGUUAAUAUUCCUGUACUUGGUGUUACUGCGAAGGGGGGACGGAGAAGGCUAUGUUGGCCGGGCGACGGUUGUCCCGGUUUAAGCGUGUAGGCUGGUUUUCCAGGCAAAUCCGGAAAAUCAAGGCUGAGGCGUGAUGACGAGGCACUACGGUGCUGAAGCAACAAAUGCCCUGCUUCCAGGAAAAGCCUCUAAGCAUCAGGUAACAUCAAAUCGUACCCCAAACCGACACAGGUGGUCAGGUAGAGAAUACCAAGGCGCUUGAGAGAACUCGGGUGAAGGAACUAGGCAAAAUGGUGCCGUAACUUCGGGAGAAGGCACGCUGAUAUGUAGGUGAAGCGACUUGCUCGUGGAGCUGAAAUCAGUCGAAGAUACCAGCUGGCUGCAACUGUUUAUUAAAAACACAGCACUGUGCAAACACGAAAGUGGACGUAUACGGUGUGACGCCUGCCCGGUGCCGGAAGGUUAAUUGAUGGGGUCAGCGCAAGCGAAGCUCUUGAUCGAAGCCCCGGUAAACGGCGGCCGUAACUAUAACGGUCCUAAGGUAGCGAAAUUCCUUGUCGGGUAAGUUCCGACCUGCACGAAUGGCGUAAUGAUGGCCAGGCUGUCUCCACCCGAGACUCAGUGAAAUUGAACUCGCUGUGAAGAUGCAGUGUACCCGCGGCAAGACGGAAAGACCCCGUGAACCUUUACUAUAGCUUGACACUGAACAUUGAGCCUUGAUGUGUAGGAUAGGUGGGAGGCUUAGAAGUGUGGACGCCAGUCUGCAUGGAGCCGACCUUGAAAUACCACCCUUUAAUGUUUGAUGUUCUAACGUGGACCCGUGAUCCGGGUUGCGGACAGUGUCUGGUGGGUAGUUUGACUGGGGCGGUCUCCUCCUAAAGAGUAACGGAGGAGCACGAAGGUUGGCUAAUCCUGGUCGGACAUCAGGAGGUUAGUGCAAUGGCAUAAGCCAGCUUGACUGCGAGCGUGACGGCGCGAGCAGGUGCGAAAGCAGGUCAUAGUGAUCCGGUGGUUCUGAAUGGAAGGGCCAUCGCUCAACGGAUAAAAGGUACUCCGGGGAUAACAGGCUGAUACCGCCCAAGAGUUCAUAUCGACGGCGGUGUUUGGCACCUCGAUGUCGGCUCAUCACAUCCUGGGGCUGAAGUAGGUCCCAAGGGUAUGGCUGUUCGCCAUUUAAAGUGGUACGCGAGCUGGGUUUAGAACGUCGUGAGACAGUUCGGUCCCUAUCUGCCGUGGGCGCUGGAGAACUGAGGGGGGCUGCUCCUAGUACGAGAGGACCGGAGUGGACGCAUCACUGGUGUUCGGGUUGUCAUGCCAAUGGCACUGCCCGGUAGCUAAAUGCGGAAGAGAUAAGUGCUGAAAGCAUCUAAGCACGAAACUUGCCCCGAGAUGAGUUCUCCCUGACCCUUUAAGGGUCCUGAAGGAACGUUGAAGACGACGACGUUGAUAGGCCGGGUGUGUAAGCGCAGCGAUGCGUUGAGCUAACCGGUACUAAUGAACCGUGAGGCUUAACCUU
Molecule: ribosomal RNA, 2852 nt
Filed under: Escherichia coli
Lineage: Bacteria; Pseudomonadati; Pseudomonadota; Gammaproteobacteria; Enterobacterales; Enterobacteriaceae
Description: 23S ribosomal RNA
Rfam family: Bacterial large subunit ribosomal RNA
Source: RNAcentral